CGGGUGAGUAAUACAUCGGAACAUGUCAUUCGUGGGGGAUAGACCGGACGAAAGCCUGGAUUAAUACCGAUACGCCCCGAGGGGGAAAGCGGGGGACUUCAGCAAAGAGGACUCGCGCGAAUGGGUUGGACGAUGUCCGAUUAGCUAGUUGGUGGGGUAAAGGCUUACCAAGGCGAUGAUCGGUAGCUGGUCUGAGAGGAUGAUCAGAACACACUGGGACUGAGAGACGGACCAGACUCCUACGGGAGGCAGAAGUGGGGAAUUUAAGGACAAUGGGGGAAACACUGAUCCAGCCAUUCCGAGUGAGUGAAGAAGGACUUCAGGGUUAGUAAAGACUCAUAAUGUACGGAACGAAACGGUAUAGCGUGAAUAUCGCAUGACUACUGACAGGUAACGGAAGAAUAAGACACCGGAUAAACUAACAGUGACCAGAC
This 434-nucleotide ribosomal RNA is filed under the name uncultured bacterium. RNAcentral describes it as "bacterial SSU rRNA". It matches the Rfam family "Bacterial small subunit ribosomal RNA", at positions 103 to 516 of the family's 1533-position model. The record is from RNAcentral.